RNAcentral lists this ribosomal RNA (253 nucleotides) under uncultured bacterium. RNAcentral describes it as "partial 16S ribosomal RNA". It matches the Rfam family "Bacterial small subunit ribosomal RNA", at positions 524 to 776 of the family's 1533-position model. The record is from RNAcentral.
UACAGAGGUCCCGAGCGUUGUUCGGAUUCACUGGGCGUAAAGGGUGCGUAGGUGGUUGGGUAAGUCUGAUGUGAAAUCUCCGGGCUCAACCCGGAAAUGGCAUUGGAUACUAUCUGGCUAGAGGUUUGGAGGGGGGACUGGAAUUCUCGGUGUAGCAGUGAAAUGCGUAGAUAUCAGGAGGAACACCAAUAGCGAAGGCAGCUCGCUGGGACGUUACUGACACUGAGGCGCGAAAGCGUGGGGAGCGAACAGG